RNAcentral lists this ribosomal RNA (275 nucleotides) under uncultured bacterium. RNAcentral's name for it is "partial 16S ribosomal RNA". It matches the Rfam family "Bacterial small subunit ribosomal RNA", at positions 399 to 691 of the family's 1533-position model. The record is from RNAcentral.
GCGUGAGUGAUGAAGGCCUUAGGGUUGUAAUGCUCUUUUGGCGGGGAAGAUAAUGACGGUACCCGCAGAAUAAGCCCCGGCUAACUUCGUGCCAGCAGCCGCGGUAAUACGAAGGGGGCUAGCGUUGUUCGGAAUUACUGGGCGUAAAGCGCACGUAGGCGGACUAACAAGUCAGGGGUGAAAUCCCGGGGCUCAACCUCGGAAUUGCCCUUGAUACUGUCAGUCUAGAGUCCGGAAGAGGUGGGUGGAAUUCCUAGUGUAGAGGUGAAAUUCGC